RNAcentral lists this ribosomal RNA (253 nucleotides) under uncultured bacterium. RNAcentral describes it as "partial 16S ribosomal RNA". It matches the Rfam family "Bacterial small subunit ribosomal RNA", at positions 524 to 776 of the family's 1533-position model. The record is from RNAcentral.
UACGUAGGGGGCAAGCGUUGUCCGGAAUCAUUGGGCGUAAAGCGCGUGUAGGCGGCCCGAAAAGUCUGAUGUGAAAACUUGGGGCUCAACCCCAAGCCUGCAUUGGAUACUGUCGGGCUUGAGUCUGGAAGAGGAGAGUGGAAUUCCCAGUGUAGAGGUGAAAUUCGUAGAUAUUGGGAAGAACACCGGUGGCGAAGGCGGCGACCUGGUCCGAUACUGACGCUGAGGCGCGAAAGCGUGGGGAGCAAACAGG